RNAcentral lists this ribosomal RNA (433 nucleotides) under uncultured bacterium. RNAcentral's name for it is "partial 16S ribosomal RNA". It matches the Rfam family "Bacterial small subunit ribosomal RNA", at positions 29 to 507 of the family's 1533-position model. The record is from RNAcentral.
AACGAACGCUGGCGGCAUGCCUAACACAUGCAAGUCGAACGAGACCUUCGGGUCUAGUGGCGCACGGGUGCGUAACGCGUGGGAACCUGCCCUUAGGUUCGGAAUAACUCCCCGAAAGGGGUGCUAAUACCGGAUAAUGUCUUCGGACCAAAGAUUUAUCGCCUUUGGAUGGGCCCGCGUUGGAUUAGCUAGUUGGUAGGGUAAAAGCCUACCAAGGCGACGAUCCAUAGCUGGUCUGAGAGGAUGAUCAGCCACACUGGGACUGAGACACGCCCCAGACUCCUACGGGAGGCAGCAGUGGGGAAUAUUGGACAAUGGGCGAAAGCCUGAUCCAGCAAUGCCGCGUGAGUGAUGAAGGCCUUAGGGUUGUAAAGCUCUUUUAACCGGGAUGAUAAUGACAGUACCGGGAGAAUAAGCUCCGGCUAACUCCGUG